GUAGGGAAUAUUGCGCAAUGGACGAAAGUCUGAUGCAGCGACGCCGCGUGAGUGAUGAAGGCCUUAGGGUCGUAAAGCUCUGUUGAAUGGGAAGAAAAAAAUGACGGUACCAUUCGAGGAAGGACCGGCUAACUUCGUGCCAGCAGCCGCGGUAAUACGAGGGGUCCUAGCGUUGUUCGGAAUCAUUGGGCGUAAAGGGUGUGUAGGUGGCCAUGUAAGUCAGGUGUGAAAGCCCCGGGCUCAACCCGGGAAGUGCACUUGAUACUGCGUGGCUUGAGUACCGAAGAGGGUAGUGGAAUUCCAGGUGUAGUGGUGAAAUACGUAGAUAUCUGGAGGAACACCGGUGGCGAAGGCGGCUACCUGGUCGAGUACUGACACUGAGACACGAAAGCAUGGGGAUCAAACAGGAUUAGAUACCCCUGUAGUCC
This 428-nucleotide ribosomal RNA is filed under the name uncultured bacterium. Its description in RNAcentral is "partial 16S ribosomal RNA". It matches the Rfam family "Bacterial small subunit ribosomal RNA", at positions 354 to 796 of the family's 1533-position model. The record is from RNAcentral.